This 909-nucleotide ribosomal RNA is filed under the name uncultured fungus. RNAcentral's name for it is "SSU rRNA". It matches the Rfam family "Eukaryotic small subunit ribosomal RNA", at positions 564 to 1515 of the family's 1831-position model. The record is from RNAcentral. Lineage: Eukaryota; Fungi.
GUGCCAGCAGCCGCGGUAAUUCCAGUCUCCAAUAGCGUAUAUUAAAGUUGUUGUGGUUAAAAAGCUCGUAGUUGAACCUUGGGCCUGGCUGGCCGGUCCGCCUCACCGCGUGCACUGGUCCGGCCGGGCCUUUCCCUCUGUGGAACCCCAUACCCUUCACUGGGCGUGGCGGGGAAACAGGACAUUUACUUUGAAAAAAUUAGAGUGCUCCAGGCAGGCCUAUGCUCGAAUACAUUAGCAUGGAAUAAUAAAAUAGGACGCGCGGUUCUAUUUUGUUGGUUUAUAGGACCGCCGUAAUGAUUAAUAGGGACAGUCGGGGGCAUCAGUAUUCAACUGUCAGAGGUGAAAUUCUUGGAUCAGUUGAAGACUAACUACUGCGAAAGCAUUUGCCAAGGAUGUUUUCAUUAAUCAGGAACGAAAGUUAGGGGAUCGAAGACGAUCAGAUACCGUCGUAGUCUUAACCAUAAACUAUGCCGACUAGGGAUCGGACGGUGUUAUUCAUGACCCGUUCGGCACCUUACGAGAAAUCAAAGUGCUUGGGCUCCAGGGGGAGUAUGGUCGCAAGGCUGAAACUUAAAGAAAUUGACGGAAGGGCACCACCAGGGGUGGAGCCUGCGGCUUAAUUUGACUCAACACGGGGAAACUCACCAGGUCCAGACACAAUAAGGAUUGACAGAUUGAGAGCUCUUUCUUGAUUUUGUGGGUGGUGGUGCAUGGCCGUUCUUAGUGGUGGGGUGACUUGUCUGCUAAUUGCGAUACGAACGAGACCUUAACCUGCUAAAUAGCCCGCAUGCUCGCAGUGCGCUGGCUUCUUAGAGGGACUUCGCUCAAGCGAAGGAGUUGAGCAAUAACAGGUCUGGAUGCCUUAGAUGUUCUGGGCCGCACGCGCGCCUACACCUGACGGGGUAA